UAACGGAUUAUCUUUAUAGCUUGCUAUGGGAGCAAUUAGUGGCAGACGGGUGAGUAACGCAUAGGAAUCUACCUAGUAGUAUAGGAUAGCCACUAGAAGUGGUGGGUAAUACUGUAUAAGCCCUGCGGGGGAAAGAUUUAUCGCUAUUUGAUGAGCCUAUGUUAGAUUAGCUAGUUGGUGGGGUAAAGGCCCACCAAGGCGGUGAUCUAUAGCUGGUCUGAGAGGAUGAUCAGCCACACUGGAACUGAGACACGGUCCAGACUCCUACGGGAGGCAGCAGUGGGGAAUAUUGGACAAUGGGCGCAAGCCUGAUCCAGCUAUGCCGCGUGAGUGAGGAAGGCCUUAGGGUUGUAAAACUCUUUCAGUGGGGAAGAUAAUGACGGUACCCACAGAAGAAGUCCCGGCAAACUCCGUGCCAGCAGCCGCGGUAAUACGGAGGGGGCAAGCGUUGUUCGGAAUUAUUGGGCGUAAAGGGCAUGUAGGUGGUUUGGUUAGUUAAAGGUGAAAUGCCAGGGCUUAACCCUGGAGCUGCUU
RNAcentral lists this ribosomal RNA (534 nucleotides) under uncultured Anaplasma sp. RNAcentral's name for it is "bacterial SSU rRNA". It matches the Rfam family "Bacterial small subunit ribosomal RNA", at positions 64 to 626 of the family's 1533-position model. The record is from RNAcentral. Lineage: Bacteria; Pseudomonadati; Pseudomonadota; Alphaproteobacteria; Rickettsiales; Anaplasmataceae.